This 483-nucleotide ribosomal RNA is filed under the name uncultured bacterium. RNAcentral describes it as "partial 16S ribosomal RNA". It matches the Rfam family "Bacterial small subunit ribosomal RNA", at positions 28 to 507 of the family's 1533-position model. The record is from RNAcentral.
GAUGAACGCUAGCGGCAGGCCUAAUACAUGCAAGCCGAACGGCAAGUUUGAUAGCAAUAUUGGACCUAGAGUGGCGCAAGGGUGCGUAACACGUAUGCAACCUGCCCGCGACAGGAGGAUAGCUCCCCGAAAGGGGAAUUAACCCUCCAUAACACCAUGAGAAGGCAUCUGAUUAUGGUUAAACCGCAAGGGGUCGCGGAUGGGCAUGCGGUUGAUUAGCUAGUUGGCGGGGUAAAGGCCCACCAAGGCGGUGAUCAAUAGGGGUUCUGAGAGGAAGGUCCCCCACACUGGAACUGGGAUACGGGCCAGACUCCUACGGGAGGCAGCAGUAGGGAAUAUUGGACAAUGGUUGCAAGACUGAUCCAGCCAUGCCGCGUGCAGGAAGAAGGCCUUCUGGGUCGUAAACUGCUUUUUCCUGUGGAUAAAAUACCCGUGCGCGGGGAAUUGAAGGUAACAGGGGAAUAAGCCACGGCUAACUACGUG